UCGUGACGCGUCCUUCUCCCUGCCUGUCCCCACCAGCGGAAGGCAGCGCGCGCUCUGUUCUAAUAGCAGUGCUGAGUGAAUCCUGAAACAUCUGCCAAAAUGGUGAACUUCACAGUGGACCAGAUCCGUGCCAUCAUGGACAAGAAGUCCAAUAUCCG
Sinocyclocheilus anshuiensis is the source of this 158-nucleotide long non-coding RNA. RefSeq lists it as uncharacterized. NCBI's taxonomy places the organism in Eukaryota, Metazoa, Chordata, Actinopteri, Cypriniformes, Cyprinidae. The transcript has 2 exons. The record is from RefSeq and is a predicted model, not a curated record.